GGGGGGGGGGGGGGGGGGGGGGGGGCGGGGGGGGUGGGGGCGGGGGGGGGGGGCUUGUGCGGGCUGGGUGAGCGGCGACCGGGGGAGUACCGCGUGGGGACUCUGCCUUUGGGCGGGGGACAACAUUGGGAGACGAAUGCUACUACCGCAUAAAACCUUUAAACACCAGUUUUAAGUUUGACGGAUGCAGUUGCAUCACUCCAGGAUGGUCCCGCGUUGUCUUAGCUAUUUGGUGCGGAAAAGGCUCACCAAGGCGAUGAUACAUAGCCGACCUGAGAGGGUGAUCGGCCACAUUGGGACUGAGACACGGCCCAAACUCCUACGGGAGGCAGCAGUAGGGAAUCUUCGGCAAUGGACGAAAGUCUGACCGAGCAACGCCGCGUGAGUGAAGAAGGUUUUCGGAUCGUAAAACUCUGUUGGUAGAGAAGAACGUUGGUGAGAGUGGAAAGCUCAUCAAGUGACGGUAACUACCCAGAAAGGGACGGCUAACUACGUG
RNAcentral lists this ribosomal RNA (496 nucleotides) under uncultured bacterium. RNAcentral describes it as "partial 16S ribosomal RNA". It matches the Rfam family "Bacterial small subunit ribosomal RNA", at positions 31 to 507 of the family's 1533-position model. The record is from RNAcentral.